Molecule: long non-coding RNA, 963 nt
Organism: Rattus norvegicus (Norway rat)
Lineage: Eukaryota; Metazoa; Chordata; Mammalia; Rodentia; Muridae
Source: RefSeq, a predicted model, not a curated record
CACACACACACACACACACACACACACACACAUGCACACACACACACAAAACAAACACAAAACAUAAUUCAGUUUUAAAAAAUGAAAGACAAAAACAAAAAGAAAAAGGAAGGAAGAAAGAAAAGAGAAGAGAGAAGAGAAGAGAAGAGAAGAGAAGAGAAGAGAAGAGAAGAGAAGAGAAGAAAAAGAAAAUUGGAUGACUGGUACCAAAGAAAUCUGACAAGUUCUUCCUUUGCUAAUUUUCCUAGGUGCUGGAAUGUAAGAGUCACCUGGCUGAAACACUUCUGUCUUCUCCAGUGUUCAAUAUUUAGUGGUAUUCAGGUGUCUUAAGGAGAGUUUAACGCACCAGUUUUCAUGAGCUCACAAUAGCUAAGAACACCUCUUUUGUUAAGCCGUGGCAUGAAGAACAGAUCACUGUAAGCUGUUCUCAGACAUCCAAGUUUAGAGACUGAUCAGCUGCUGGGAAUGGUGCACCCACAAACCCAUCUACCAAAAAGAAGCAGCGGAUAAACUCACUCAUCUACAUACAGAGUCCUCAACUCCGCUGUGGUGUAACCUGCUCCUUGGACCCAGUGUUUCCCUCUAACAUCAUGGAACCUUACUGAUAUUGUUGACCUAGAGGGUGGGGAAGCUGAGCCAAUGUCUCAUGCAAGCAAGCGCUUCAGCACUAGCCACACUGCACACCACUCAUCACGUCACGUGAAUAUUGACUGAAGCGCUGAAAGAAACAUGAGCCACUGUGGACCACACAGGAGGAUAUCUAGUACAUCUCGGACGACACCAAAGGAGAGCCAACUGUGAGAGCUAGAGUUAUGCUUGAAGUUUUAACUACAAUGCCUAAAAGAUCCACAAAACAAAAAUGUCUCUAACCUGCAAGCUCACUUGUCCAAGGACAGGAUACUUUCUGAAAUGCCGGAGGCUGUUACUCAUAUAUGAUAAAAAGCCAUGUUUUCACUUCCCUAA